GACGAACGCUGGCGGCGUGCUUAACACAUGCAAGUCGAACGCUUAAGCACCAGCUUGCUGGUGUGGAUGAGUGGCGAACGGGUGAGUAAUACGUGAGUAACCUGCCCUUGACUCUGGGAUAAGCCCGGGAAACUGGGUCUAAUACUGGAUCCUACAUGUCACCGCAUUGUGGUGUGUGGAUAUUGUUUACUGGUCUUGGAUGGUCUCACGGCCUAUCAGCUUGUUGGUGAGGUAAUGGCUCACCAAGGAGACGACGGGUAGCCGGACUGAGAGGGUGACCGGCAACACUGGGACUGAGACAAGGCACAGACUCCUACGGGAGGAAGAAGUGGGGAAUAUUGAACAAGGGGCGAAAGCCGGAUGCAGAGGCGCCGCGGGAGGGAAGACGGCGUUGGGGUUGAAAACCAGUAGCAGGAGGGAAGAAGCCAGAAGUGACGGUACCUGAAGAAGAAGCGCCGGCUAACUACGUG
Molecule: ribosomal RNA, 470 nt
Filed under: uncultured bacterium
Lineage: Bacteria
Description: partial 16S ribosomal RNA
Rfam family: Bacterial small subunit ribosomal RNA
Source: RNAcentral